ACAGCAGUAGCCGCGGUAAUACGUAGGGUGCAAGCGUUAAUCGGAAUUACUGGGCGUAAAGCGUGCGCAGGCGGUUUGUUAAGACAGAUGUGAAAUCCCCGGGCUCAACCUGGGAACUGCAUUUGUGACUGGCAGGCUAGAGUGUGGCAGAGGGGGGUGGAAUUCCGCGUGUAGCAGUGAAAUGCGUAGAUAUGCGGAGGAACACCGAUGGCGAAGGCAGCCCCCUGGGCCAACACUGACGCUCAUACACGAAAGCGUGGGGAGCAAACAGGAUUAGAUACCCCAGUAGUCCCUGUCUCUUAUAC
RNAcentral lists this ribosomal RNA (305 nucleotides) under uncultured bacterium. Its description in RNAcentral is "partial 16S ribosomal RNA". It matches the Rfam family "Bacterial small subunit ribosomal RNA", at positions 506 to 807 of the family's 1533-position model. The record is from RNAcentral.